This 537-nucleotide ribosomal RNA is filed under the name Trigonopterus sp. 731 AR-2022a. RNAcentral's name for it is "partial large subunit ribosomal RNA". It matches the Rfam family "Bacterial large subunit ribosomal RNA", at positions 1830 to 2625 of the family's 2925-position model. Lineage: Eukaryota; Metazoa; Arthropoda; Insecta; Coleoptera; Curculionidae. The record is from RNAcentral.
GUCUUGUAGUUUAUGAUUUCAAGUCUGACCUGCCCUAUGAUUUUAUUUAAUGGCCGCGGUAUUCUGACCGUGCAAAGGUAGCAUAAUCAUUAGUUUUUUAAUUGAAAGCUUGAAUGAAAGGUUUGAUGAGAAAGUUUCUGUCUCAGGAAAAUUUAAUUAAAAUUUUAUUUUUAAGUUAAAAAGCUUAGAUGUUUGUAGAAGACAAGAAGACCCUAUAGAGUUUUAUAUUAAAUUUAAUUGUAAAAUUUAUAGACUGAAAGUUUUUAUUAUUAUAAGGAGUAUUUUGUUGGGGUGAUGGGAAAAUUAAAAGAACUUUUCUGAAUUUAUACAUUUAUUUGUGAGUUGAUGAUCCUGAAGUUUGGAUUAAAAGAUGAAAUUACCUUAGGGAUAACAGCGUAAUUUUUUUUAGAGUUCUUAUCGAAUUAAAAGUUUGCGACCUCGAUGUUGGAUUAAAGUUAAUUUUUGGUGUAGAAGCUAAAACAUUAAGUCUGUUCGACUUUUAAAACUUUACAUGAUCUGAGUUUAGACCGGUGUGAG